Molecule: ribosomal RNA, 484 nt
Filed under: uncultured bacterium
Lineage: Bacteria
Description: partial 16S ribosomal RNA
Rfam family: Bacterial small subunit ribosomal RNA
Source: RNAcentral
GACGAACGCUGGCGGCGUGCUUAACACAUGCAAGCCGAACGAUGAAGCUAGAGCUUGCUCUGGUGAAUUAGUGGCGAACGGGUGAGUAACACGUGAGUAACCUGCCCCGAACUCUGGGAUAACUGCUGGAAACGGUAGCUAAUAAUGGAUAAGACCUACGAAGGCAUCUUCUGUAGGUGGAAAGAAUUUCGGUUCGGGAUGGACUCGCGGCCUAUCAGCUUGUUGGUGGGGUAAUGGCUCACCAAGGCGACGACGGGUAGCCGGCCUGAGAGGGUGACCGGCCACACUGGGACUGAGACACGGCCCAGACUCCUACGGGAGGCAGCAGUGGGGAAUAUUGCACAAUGGGCGCAAGCCUGAUGCAGCAACGCCGCGUGAGGGAUGACGGCCUUCGGGUUGUAAACCUCUUUUAGUAGGGAAGAAGCGAAAGUGACGGUACCUGCAGAAAAAGCACCGGCUAACUACGUGCCAGCCGCCGCAGUAA